UUCGCAAUGCCCGAAAGGGUGACGGAGCGACGCCGCGUGGGCGAUGAAGGCCUUCGGGUUGUAAAGCCCUGACACGUGGUAAGAAUGGCGGGGAGUUAAUAGCUCGUCCGUUUGACGCUACCACGAGAGGAAGCCCCGGCUAAUUCCGUGCCAGCAGCCGCGGUAAUACGGAAGGGGCCAGCGUUGCUCGGAAUCACUGGGCUUAAAGCGCAUGUAGGCGGGGACGUAAGUCAGGAGUGGAAACCCCCGGCUUAACCGGGGGAGGUCUUUUGAAACUGCGUCUCUUGAGUGCGGGAGGGGAGAGUGGAAUUCCCGGUGGAGCGGUGAAAUGCGUAGAUAUCGGGAGGAACGCCGGUGGCGAAAGCGACUCUCUGGCCCGCUACUGACGCUGAGGUGCGAAAGCUAGGGGAGCAAACGGGAUUAGAUACCCCGGUAGUCCUAGCCCUAAACGAUGGGCACUAAGUAGAGGGGUUUU
This 475-nucleotide ribosomal RNA is filed under the name uncultured anaerobic ammonium-oxidizing bacterium. RNAcentral's name for it is "bacterial SSU rRNA". It matches the Rfam family "Bacterial small subunit ribosomal RNA", at positions 365 to 832 of the family's 1533-position model. The record is from RNAcentral.